RNAcentral lists this ribosomal RNA (505 nucleotides) under uncultured bacterium. RNAcentral describes it as "bacterial SSU rRNA". It matches the Rfam family "Bacterial small subunit ribosomal RNA", at positions 30 to 518 of the family's 1533-position model. The record is from RNAcentral.
UGAACGCUAGCUACAGGCUUAACACAUGCAAGUCGAGGGGCAUCACGUGAGGCAGCAAUGCAUCGUGGGUGGCGACCGGCGAAUGGGUGAGUAACGAGUAUCCAACCUGGCCCAUACUCGGGCACAGCCCCGCGAAAGCGGGAUUAAUGCCCGAUGCGGCGUAUCUCCCGCAUGGGAAUUACGUCAAAGGUAUAAACUGGUAUGGGAUGGGGGAUGCGUCCGAUUAGCUAGACGGCGGGGUAACGGCCCACCGUGGCGAUGAUCGGUAGGGGUUCUGAGAGGAAGGUCCCCCACAUUGGAACUGAGACACGGUCCAAACUCCUACGGGAGGCAGCAGUGAGGAAUAUUGGUCAAUGGCCGUAAGGCUGAACCAGCCAAGUAGCGUGAGGGGAAUGACCGCCCUAUGGGUCGUAAACCUCUUUUGCACGGGAAUAACCGCACCCACGUGUGGGUGCCUGCAUGUACCGUGCGAAUAAGCAUCGGCUAACUCCGUGCCAGCCGCAGC